Molecule: long non-coding RNA, 219 nt
Filed under: Ananas comosus (pineapple)
Lineage: Eukaryota; Viridiplantae; Streptophyta; Magnoliopsida; Poales; Bromeliaceae
Description: long non-coding RNA (ACOM_LNC038887)
Source: RNAcentral
GUAAUAGGAAUUAGGCAAUGAAUGAAAUUAAUGCUUUCUUUCUCAACUUCAUCUCCCUCUGUUUCUAUUCUCUACUCUGUCUCUUCUUACAUCUGAUCUUUCCUUCUCUCCCUUAUUCCUUAUCACUUUCUCAUCUUAAUCGCGACUGAAAUACGCCCAUCAUCCUCACCGCCAUACCGGCCUCAGAGCAAUCUCAUCAUCGGCGGUUGCGGAUCGUCC